UAUAAUUUUUUUGAAAAAGAAAUCUGGAAAUUUAUUUUCCACAAAUAAAAUUAGUUAUUUUGGAAAAUAAAAAUUAUUUUUUUUCAAUUUUUUUAUUUAAUUCAAAAAAUUUAUCUUUUUUCUAAAAACUUAAAAAAAAAAUUCAAAACAAAUAAAAAGUAUAAAAAAAUCUGGAGUUUUUUUCUUAAAUUAAAAAAAAU
Molecule: long non-coding RNA, 200 nt
Filed under: Lathyrus oleraceus (garden pea)
Lineage: Eukaryota; Viridiplantae; Streptophyta; Magnoliopsida; Fabales; Fabaceae
Description: Pisum sativum (pea) long non-coding RNA (PSAT_LNC019620)
Source: RNAcentral